Molecule: ribosomal RNA, 431 nt
Filed under: uncultured bacterium
Lineage: Bacteria
Description: partial 16S ribosomal RNA
Rfam family: Bacterial small subunit ribosomal RNA
Source: RNAcentral
CCUACGGGUGGCAGCAGUGGGGAAUCUUGCGCAAUGGGCGAAAGCCUGACGCAGCGACGCCGCGUGGGGGAUGACGGCCUUCGGGUUGUAAACCUCUUUCAGCAGGGAAGCGGUACCUGCAGAAGAAGCACCGGCUAACUACGUGCCAGCAGCCGCGGUAAUACGUAGGGUGCAAGCGUUGUCCGGAAUUAUUGGGCGUAAAGAGCUCGUAGGUGGCGGGUCACGUCGGGUGUGAAAGCCCGGGGCUUAACCCCGGGUCUGCAUUCGAUACGGGCCUGCUAGGGUCCGGCAGGGGAGACUGGAAUUCCUGGUGUAGCGGUGAAAUGCGCAGAUAUCAGGAGGAACACCGGUGGCGAAGGCGGGUCUCUGGGCGGACCGACGCUGAGGAGCGAAAGCGUGGGGAGCGAACAGGAUUAGAUACCCUUGUAGUC